Sapajus apella (tufted capuchin) is the source of this 281-nucleotide long non-coding RNA. RefSeq lists it as uncharacterized. The record is from RefSeq and is a predicted model, not a curated record. The transcript has 2 exons. Lineage: Eukaryota; Metazoa; Chordata; Mammalia; Primates; Cebidae.
GCCGAUGUCAUGACACUGCACUGCAGCCUGGGUGACAGAGCAAGACUCCGUCUCAAAAAAAAAAAAAAAAAAAAAAAAGAAAAUAACUCGCGAUCUCAACCUUUUCUGUUGAAAUAAGUUGUAGAAUCUUCAGUGAUUAUAAUAAGUAAGUGUGUGGAGAAAUGGAGAGAAGUUCAAGUAUGUGAGAGCUGUCCUAAAUUUAUAAGCUAAAGCCCAAAGAAAAGCAGUUAAAGCAGAGAUUGAGCAUAAGAAAUGUAACUUAUAAUUUUUUUUUCCCCAAA